AACGCACGAGACCUGCGGACCUGCGGAGGGAUCAUCAAUGAGAAACUGCCCCUCGCGGGUAGAUCUCCCACCCUUUGUAAACUUACCUUUGUUGCUUUGGCAGGCCCGUCUCCGGACCGCCGGCUUCGGCUGGCCAGUGCCUGCCAGAGGAUUCUAAAACUCUGUCUGUCAGUGUUGUCUGAGUCUAUAUACAAUCGUUAAAACUUUCAACAACGGAUCUCUAGAUCGGAAGAGCACACG
RNAcentral lists this unclassified non-coding RNA (240 nucleotides) under soil metagenome. Its description in RNAcentral is "partial contains 5.8S ribosomal RNA, internal transcribed spacer 2, and large subunit ribosomal RNA". The record is from RNAcentral.